Molecule: small nucleolar RNA, 107 nt
Organism: Lactuca sativa (garden lettuce)
Lineage: Eukaryota; Viridiplantae; Streptophyta; Magnoliopsida; Asterales; Asteraceae
Source: RefSeq, a predicted model, not a curated record
AAGUCAUGUUGAGUACAAUUUCUUAGAAAACCCUUGUACCUCUCCCAAGCUUCGUAUAAUGGUUGUCGGAUUUCUUGUUGGAAGUUGGCUAUCUUCUUCUUUAGGUU